CAGCUUGUUGGUGAGGUAACGGCUCACCAAGGCUUCGACGGGUAGCCGGCCUGAGAGGGCGACCGGCCACACUGGGACUGAGAUACGGCCCAGACUCCUACGGGAGGCAGCAGUGGGGAAUAUUGCACAAUGGGCGCAAGCCUGAUGCAGCAACGCCGCGUGCGGGAUGACGGCCUUCGGGUUGUAAACCGCUUUCAGUUCCGACGAAGCGCAAGUGACGGUAGGAACAGAAGAAGGACCGGCCAACUACGUGCCAGCAGCCGCGGUGAUACGUAGGGUCCGAGCGUUGUCCGGAAUUAUUGGGCGUAAAGGGCUUGUAGGCGGUUUGUCACGUCGAAAGUGAAAACUCAGGGCUUAACCCUGAGCCUGCUUCCGAUACGGGCAAACUAGAGGGAUGCAGGGGAGAAUGGAAUUCCUGGUGGAGCGGUGGAAUGCGCAGAUAUCAGGAGGAACACCGGUGGCGAAGGCGGUUCUCUGGGCAUUUCCUGACGCUGAGAAGCGAAAGCGUGGGGAGCAAACAGGCUUAGAUACCCUGGUAGUCCACGCCGUAAACGGUGGGCACUAGGUGUGGGGAACAU
RNAcentral lists this ribosomal RNA (578 nucleotides) under uncultured Actinomycetes bacterium. RNAcentral's name for it is "SSU rRNA". It matches the Rfam family "Bacterial small subunit ribosomal RNA", at positions 242 to 832 of the family's 1533-position model. Lineage: Bacteria; Bacillati; Actinomycetota; Actinomycetes. The record is from RNAcentral.